RNAcentral lists this ribosomal RNA (119 nucleotides) under Heliconius melpomene (postman butterfly). Lineage: Eukaryota; Metazoa; Arthropoda; Insecta; Lepidoptera; Nymphalidae. The record is from RNAcentral.
GUCAACGUCCAUACCACGUUGAACACACCGGUUCUCGUCCGAUCACCGAAGUUAAGCAACGUCGGGCGCGGUCAGUACUUGGAUGGGUGACCGCCUGGGAACACCGCGUGCCGUUGGCU